This is a long non-coding RNA of Cucumis melo (muskmelon), 437 nucleotides long. RefSeq lists it as uncharacterized. The record is from RefSeq and is a predicted model, not a curated record. Lineage: Eukaryota; Viridiplantae; Streptophyta; Magnoliopsida; Cucurbitales; Cucurbitaceae. The transcript has 3 exons.
UGUGCUAGAAUUCUUCUUUUGUUUUUGAAGGGUUUUUGAAGGGUAGCUGAAAACCAAGAAAAUAGCCAGAAAAAUCGCCGGAAGCUUGCUGAAAGUACAAGAGAUUUCAAGAAGGCUCAACCAGAGGAAAAAUUGAACUUGUUUAGUUCUCUACUUAAAAGUUACCAAGAAGAAGUUGACAAUCUCACGAAGAGGGCAAAGUUUGGAGAAAAUGCUUUUCUUAACAUCUAUCAGAAACUUUAUGAGGCUCCAGAUCCUUACCCUGCUCUUGCUUCAAUUGGUGAACAAGAUUUGAAGUUGUCUGAAUUAGAAUCUGAGAACAGGAAAAUGAAAGUUGAGCUUGAAGAGUUUAGAACAGAAGCAACUCAUUUAAAAAAUCAGCAGGCCACUAUUAGAAGACUUGAAGAGCGCAAUCGGCAAUUGGAGCAACAGGUUGU